CAGUCGCCACGGGAAUACAGAGGGUGCGAGCGUUAAUCAGAUUUACUGGGCGUAAAGCGUGCGUAGGCGGCUUUUUAAGUCGGAUGUGAAAUCCCUGAGCUUAACUUAGGAAUUGCAUUCGAUACUGUGAAGCUAGAGUAUGGGAGAGGAUGGUAGAAUUCCAGGUGUAGCGGUGAAAUUCGUAGAGAUCUGGAGGAAUACCGGUGGCGAAGGCGGCCCCCUGGACAAAGACUGACGCUCAGGUGCGAAAGCGUGGGGAGCAAACAGGAUUAGAUACCCCCGUAGUCCCUGUCUCUUAUAC
RNAcentral lists this ribosomal RNA (301 nucleotides) under uncultured bacterium. RNAcentral describes it as "partial 16S ribosomal RNA". It matches the Rfam family "Bacterial small subunit ribosomal RNA", at positions 509 to 807 of the family's 1533-position model. The record is from RNAcentral.